ACCUUACUGAUGAGUGCCAAGUAGGACGAAACCUAGGUCCAGGGU
Non-coding RNA from Schistosoma rodhaini, 45 nucleotides. The record is from Rfam. NCBI's taxonomy places the organism in Eukaryota, Metazoa, Platyhelminthes, Trematoda, Strigeidida, Schistosomatidae.